GGGGUUGUGGCUCAGUGGUAGAGUGCUCACCUAGCAUGUGAGAGGCCCUAGGUUCAAUCCUCAGCACCCCA
This 71-nucleotide transfer RNA is filed under the name Marmota monax (woodchuck). It matches the Rfam family "tRNA". Rfam says of the family: Transfer RNA (tRNA) molecules are approximately 80 nucleotides in length. Their secondary structure includes four short double-helical elements and three loops (D, anti-codon, and T loops). Further hydrogen bonds mediate the characteristic L-shaped molecular structure. tRNAs have two regions of fundamental functional importance: the anti-codon, which is responsible for specific mRNA codon recognition, and the 3' end, to which the tRNAs corresponding amino acid is attached (by aminoacyl-tRNA synthetases). tRNAs cope with the degeneracy of the genetic code in two manners: having more than one tRNA (with a specific anti-codon) for a particular amino acid; and 'wobble' base-pairing, i.e. permitting non-standard base-pairing at the 3rd anti-codon position. The record is from Rfam by way of RNAcentral. Lineage: Eukaryota; Metazoa; Chordata; Mammalia; Rodentia; Sciuridae.